CAGGAUUCCAUCCCAGGAAAUCCCCUCCAGCUGCCUCUGCUCAUGAGAGACUCGCCCAGUCUCCUUGUCUCUUCCAGCUCUAACUUUCCUCUUAUUCAUCUCAAUUAGGUGGAGCUAAAUGUUCAAGUUUUCAGGAACCAGUAGUGAGGACUUGUUCCCAAGGAUGCAAGGGUGAGCUGGGUCUGAGAAACCAACCAGAAGGGUUGCCCAGAAGCACUGGGUAUGGAUCAGAGACUUGGUCACCCCAGCAGCUCUGACUUGGCCUCCAGUGUUUGACCCCGCCCCUUUGAAGCACCAUCCAGCACACUCUGCUGGGGUUUUAUGAUGACAUUAAACAAACCUCAACUGCCUUGGCCACCCUCCAGUGUCCACCCUACUCCCUAUCUUGUUAGCUGUCCAAGAGUUGACAGUCCAGAUGUGCAGAUGUGAUGAGCAGGACAGGGAGAAACAGCCUCAAGGGUACCACCCUUCCCACCCCUUGCUGGUGAAUGAGAAGACACAGUCCAUCUCUGAACUCUCUCUUGGUCCUCUUUCUUCUCACCUCCAGCUACUCUGAUGUUAGGUGAGGAAGAAGGGAUCAGAGAAAAUAGUAAAAGCCUUUUUCCCAGACCACAAAGGCAGUGUGAAUACGGACUGAAAUUCAUAUGAGAGCUGGCUUAUGGUGACAUAUUAUUAGAAGAGAUGUCCUCUCCUGAGGAGGUGCCAGAACCACAUUCCGGAGACUCCGGAAUCACCUGCCGGGCAUGCCGGAACCACCUCUCAGACGUGCCAGAACCAUGUGCCGGACACGCCGGAACCACCUGCCGAGUAUGCCGGAACCACCUUCUCCACUCCCCAGAACCACCUGCUGGACACGCCGGGACCACCUGCUUGACUCGCCAGAACCACCUGCCGGACACGCCAGAAUCGCCAGCCGGCUACGCCACAACCACUUGUCGGACACUCCAGAAUCACCUGCCGGGCAUGAAGCACAACCUCUCAGAACUUGGGUCCUAAGAUUUACCUCCUGUGCCCUCUUCUAUCCCAUAAAACCAAAUUAGAAGCUCAAGUUCACUAAGUUUCUUAGAAACUCUUGGCGAAGUUCCAGCUGUUUCACUUAACUCACAGGAUUCCUGUUUUCAAUUCAGUUUGGAGAUUACACAUAACUUUUUUUUUUUUGCCAGCUCAAUGAGGAACUUAAAAAAAAAAUUUUAAAAUAUUCCAUACAACAUUAUCAUUGUUUCGAUCAGGAGUGGCAUUCAGCAUACCUAAUAUAAUCUGGCAAGUUAUACAGCCCCACUUCUUUAAUCUUUAGCAAAUAGCCCAGCGCUGCUCAAGAGAACUUUCCCUGAAGGUGGAAAUGUUCCAUACCUCCACUGGCCAGUAUGGACUCCACUAGCGACAUGUGGCUG
This 1391-nucleotide long non-coding RNA is filed under the name Equus caballus (horse). RNAcentral describes it as "lncRNA (ENSECAG00000059479.1)". Lineage: Eukaryota; Metazoa; Chordata; Mammalia; Perissodactyla; Equidae. The record is from RNAcentral.